AGCUGAGUUGGUAGAGCAUGGCGCUUGCAGCGCCAUGGGUUGUGGGUUCAAUUCCCAU
RNAcentral lists this transfer RNA (58 nucleotides) under Salmo salar (Atlantic salmon). It matches the Rfam family "tRNA", at positions 9 to 63 of the family's 71-position model. Rfam says of the family: Transfer RNA (tRNA) molecules are approximately 80 nucleotides in length. Their secondary structure includes four short double-helical elements and three loops (D, anti-codon, and T loops). The record is from Rfam by way of RNAcentral. Lineage: Eukaryota; Metazoa; Chordata; Actinopteri; Salmoniformes; Salmonidae.